GGGCUGUGAUGAGUCAGAGAUAGUCAUGCACCACUCUGAUUUUUAGUGCUGAUAAUUUUCUCAUACCCAUUUUAUCUGAGCCC
Non-coding RNA from Lupinus angustifolius (narrow-leaved blue lupine), 83 nucleotides. NCBI's taxonomy places the organism in Eukaryota, Viridiplantae, Streptophyta, Magnoliopsida, Fabales, Fabaceae. The record is from Rfam.